AAUAUUUUUACUCAUUUAAGCAAUUUUUGUGCAGAUUUGUACGAGCAAGGUGGUAUUUUGGAGCAUUGUUAAAGCCACAUUGAAUGCCUUGCAGCCACGAUUGAAAUCUCAUAGCAAAAUCCGGGAGCGAAAAGAAAAACAAAGCGAUAUAAAUUAAUUUUUCGGAUUUUGACAGCUUUGCGCGGCUCUCUUCAAGCGAUAAGACGGAGGGGCAAACAAUGUCCGAUUGAGCUGAAAAUUUACAGGAGUCUUCAUAACUCGUUGAUCUUCAAUCUCACAAAAAAUGAGCUGAUUCAGACAUGUUUUGGUUGGGUUUUUGGUCUGACGAACAACAGUACAGAAGGCUGUCCAGCAACCCAUUUAAAUAGCCCAAUUAAUUUAUAUGGCAGCCCAUUUUGAGAUUUAAUCCAGCAGCCCAUGUUUCAUUUAGUUGAGCCCACUAUGGCUUAUUGUGUAACUUGGAAACGCAGCAAAUCAAGGGCACAAAAACAGUAGGGCAUCUUCAUUUUUUUGCCGGCAGAAGAAAAGAAGUGGGCGACGCCUCUUCUUGGGGUUUUUCUCCCUGAUUCUUCUUUCUUUAUUUUUGGAAAUUAAACACUAUUAUCAUUGAUAUCUUUAUCAUUGAUUUUAUUGUCUUGUGAUUCAUUUAUCUUUGUAAUUAGAUUAGGUUAAUUUUUGUAUUAAUACUUGGAUUAUGGAUGAAGUUUUUGAAGCAACAAGAAGUGACGAUUUCAAGAAGCUUUGUCAUCUUCGUUUCGUAAUCGGUAUUGGUAUAAUUUCUAUCCUUUUUAUUGUUAUUAUUAUUAUGUGUUAGUUUUUAUUUUCGAUAUUGGGUGAAUCUAUGGAACAAUUAAUUGAUUAGGAAUAGUUUUAUGUGGUUUUGAUGGCAUGCUAUGAAAUAUUUUCUAGUGAAACAUCUAUUGAUGUUCAUAUGUCUUUAAUCAUGAGUUUAGAUAUGUGAAUGUUUAAUUAGUUGGUUAAUUUCUUGAUUACGUAAUAGAUCUUCAAAUUAACAAGCAACAAAUGGUUUUUGUGAUUGUUUUUCUUUCACACAAUCAUGAAAAUAUUUUCUCCACCAUGGUAGUGAAAGCAUUUUGACUCCUCUUGGAUUUGGUGACUUUUAAAUCUUAAUGCUAGUUAAUUUUCAUUAAUUACAUGCUUUAUGGAAAUUAUGACUUUAACUAAGAAAAUGUGUUAUGAGCUUCUCUAACCAUUGUAUUAACUAAGAAAAGUCUAGGUGAUCUCAAGCUUCUUAGAUUGCUAUAGCCAAAUUAGUAUCCAUUAAACUCAUUGCACCACAAAAUUAUGAUGAUUAGUCAACUAAUUGAACUUGUGAUUUAUCCCGAUAUUGGAACGUUUUAUAUUAUAGAUUUUGUAUUUUUCCAUUUUUGUUAUUUUUAUAAAAUAGUUUUUUAUCGCAUUUAACAUUUGAAAACCCCCAUAUCAUUUUAUAUUUUUUUUUAUUUCGUAGAAACUAAAUGCAUAGAUUUGAUUCGAACCAAUCCAUGUGGAUUCGAUCCCUUUUACCGCUAUUACAAUUCAUUUUUGUAUGUCGUCGUAUUGAGGUUUUUUUUUAUUUGGUGGUCUCGACGCCCACCAGCUACUGCCCCUAACAACAUACGAAGGGCAACAUUUCAUCAACAACCAAUUUCAGGAGAUCAAAGCUACAAUUGUUACUAAGGUGUGGUAUCAGUUAUUCCUUUGCCUCAGACACCAAGUUGAACAUGAAAUAUGGAUCGCGGUCAAUGUCAUGUGGUGUUCAACUUUUUAGUAAGGUCUUAGAUGUCCAUCUUGACUACAUACUCCUAUCAAGUAGUUCAUGUUAUACCCAACGAUGACCCUUAUAACUGUCUUCAUUAUGAUUGUAGCAUAAUGAAGGUAGUAGCUCAGAUUUAUAUGAGGCUCUGUUCUAAAGUUCAUGGCCCUUCAAAAAUUCAAAUCUCCUAAAUAAACAGACUGACAGGAUCGGUCUUGGAGAGACGUGUCGAGCCGCAUCUUAACUUGUUGAGAAAAUUUCACGCUUAGAAAUCUCCAAUCACCAGAAUCUUGGAUUGAAGAUUUCUGGGGGCAAUUGUUGUAGGGAAUCAAGGCUUAACGGAAAAGAAAUAGACCAAGUCAAUAACACAUGGUCAAUACUUGAAGAACGUUGAAGACCUUCAAUAAAUUCGGGUCAAUAAAGGAUCAAAGAGAAUCCCAAUAUUCUCGAAAUUUUAGUUAUUAUCAUUAUGUAUAAAAAGACUAGUUGAUCAUAUUCACACAAACACAUUCACUUCUUCCUCUCUGAUUCUUUCGAAUCUUGAGCACAAUCACAUUUUUCUAAGAUCGGCUAACACAUGUAAUUAUUAUUAUUUAUUUAACAUAAGUUAAAAGGCAUGUGAUUUUAUCACCGCCUGAGGUUUUAUGCUGACGAUCUUAAAGGAUUAAGGGAUUUCCCCGUA
Non-coding RNA from Lactuca sativa (garden lettuce), 2438 nucleotides. The record is from RefSeq and is a predicted model, not a curated record. Lineage: Eukaryota; Viridiplantae; Streptophyta; Magnoliopsida; Asterales; Asteraceae.